Molecule: ribosomal RNA, 995 nt
Filed under: uncultured bacterium
Lineage: Bacteria
Description: bacterial SSU rRNA
Rfam family: Bacterial small subunit ribosomal RNA
Source: RNAcentral
GGGGAAUAUUGCACAAUGGGGGAAACCCUGAUGCAGCGACGCCGCGUGGAGGAAGAAGGUCUUCGGAUUGUAAACUCCUGUUGUUGGGGAAGAUAAUGACGGUACCCAACAAGGAAGUGACGGCUAACUACGUGCCAGCAGCCGCGGUAAAACGUAGGUCACAAGCGUUGUCCGGAAUUACUGGGUGUAAAGGGAGCGCAGGCGGGAAGACAAGUUGGAAGUGAAAUCUAUGGGCUCAACCCAUAAACUGCUUUCAAAACUGUUUUUCUUGAGUAGUGCAGAGGUAGGCGGAAUUCCCGGUGUAGCGGUGGAAUGCGUAGAUAUCGGGAGGAACACCAGUGGCGAAGGCGGCCUACUGGGCACCAACUGACGCUGAGGCUCGAAAGUGUGGGUAGCAAACAGGAUUAGAUACCCUGGUAGUCCACACCGUAAACGAUGAUUACUAGGUGUUGGAGGAUUGACCCCUUCAGUGCCGCAGUUAACACAAUAAGUAAUCCACCUGGGGAGUACGACCGCAAGGUUGAAACUCAAAGGAAUUGACGGGGGCCCGCACAAGCAGUGGAGUAUGUGGUUUAAUUCGACGCAACGCGAAGAACCUUACCAAGUCUUGACAUCCCUUGACAGGCAUAGAAAUAUGUUUUCUCUUCGGAGCAAGGAGACAGGUGGUGCAUGGUUGUCGUCAGCUCGUGUCGUGAGAUGUUGGGUUAAGUCCCGCAACGAGCGCAACCCUUAUGGUCAGUUACUACGCGAGAGGACUCUGGCCAGACUGCCGUUGACAAAACGGAGGAAGGUGGGGAUGACGUCAAAUCAUCAUGCCCUUUAUGACUUGGGCUACACACGUACUACAAUGGCGUUAAACAAAGAGAAGCAAGACCGCGAGGUGGAGCAAAACUCAGAAACAACGUCCCAGUUCGGACUGCAGGCUGCAACUCGCCUGCACGAAGUCGGAAUUGCUAGUAAUCGUGGAUCAGCAUGCCACGGUGAAUACGUUCCCG